AUUAGAAAUAUAUUAAUCAUAUUUACAGAAAGUGCCCAGAAAAGUGUGGCUUUCAUCUCUCUUCUUCUUGAACGCACAACAAUAAAUGGAAUUGCAGAAAUUUUCUUCGAGAUCGGAGUUGGAGCAGAAUCGAGCAGUGGCUUAAAUUGAUCUGUGAACCAGGCGCAAGGUACUGUGGAUUUGAUCCUUUGAAGGCUUAGUACAUCACGGCGAAAUUUCUGCUCUGAAAUGGCGUCCCUUCUCAGCCCAUCAACGCCGCCAUCCGCCAUUCAUCUGAGACGAAAGGUGAAUCUUCUCGAUUUCAGUUCUUUAUCUACAAAUCAUUCAUUAAAAGUUUAUGGGAAAAUUGGAAGGACUGGUGGCUAUCAUGGAAUUUGCCUUACAACAAGGGCCAAGGGGGGUAUUGAACAAGACGUGCUUGAGAAAGAUAAAGAGCCAAUUGAAAUUGACGUUGACAAUGAUUAUGGAGCGGUUGGCGUUCACCACGUUGGAGUGCUUUGUGAGAAUCUCGAGAGGUCACUUCACUUCUAUCUAAAUAUUCUAGGUCUUAAAAUAAACGAAGCAAGGCCACACGAUAAGCUUCCUUAUAGAGGUGCUUGGUUGUGGGUGGGUGCUGAGAUGAUUCAUUUAAUGGAGCUUCCAAAUCCUGAUCCUUUAUCUGGACGACCUGAACAUGGAGGCCGUGAUCGUCAUACUUGUAUUGGAAUUAGGGAUGUAUCGAAGUUGAAAGUGAUCCUUGAUAAAGCUGGUAUUCCCUAUACGCUUAGCAAGUCAGGAAGGCCAGCAAUCUUUACAAGAGAUCCAGAUGCAAAUGCUUUAGAAUUUACUCAACUCGAUGGGUAAUUCUAUCAACACCUAUGAGCUUUCAUUGCUUAUGAAGAACCUCAGGAUCUUCAGAUCACUGAAAAGGGUAUUUUUUCGAUUUAAUAGAAUUUAGUCAAGAACUCGUAGGAUAUUAAAUGUGUUGUGUACUCUUAAUUUUCAAAAAAUACUGAAGCUUACAGGACGUGGAUUGUAGAGACCCAAUCGUCAGACGGGCAGUGGAAAGGUAUUUGUAGAUUGUGUUGAUAUAGAUUCGAUGUAUUAUUUACCUAAUGUUGUCAUAGAAUUAACAAAGAAUUCGAGGAGUUUUGUAUGGUCAAUAAUAUUGUGAUUGUCCUAUUGAAUAAUGUCCUUUGCGGUCAGGGAGUUUUGUAUGACCUAUUGUGAUUGUCCUAUU
RNA transcript from Cucurbita moschata (crookneck pumpkin), 1219 nucleotides. RefSeq lists it as uncharacterized. The record is from RefSeq and is a predicted model, not a curated record. NCBI's taxonomy places the organism in Eukaryota, Viridiplantae, Streptophyta, Magnoliopsida, Cucurbitales, Cucurbitaceae. The transcript is spliced from 6 exons.